AAUCUCAGCCACAGGCCGGCAGAGAGAGGACUCCAUUGCUUGGCUCCAGCGAUUGGGAUAAAAGAGAGGAAGACUCUGUCCUUCCUGGCCGACCACCCAGAAAGCCUGGAGAGGCAGGAAGGACCCCAGCCUGGGGGAGCUUGCAGCCUCCCUGUGGGCAGGUGGAAGGUCUCCUCUGUAACUGCCACCCUCCUGCAGCCUUGGACACUCCUUUUACCUCUGUCAUCCUGCUCCAGGGCAGUUUCCUCCUGUGUGAGAAAGCUGUGAGAUCGGUGAGCUCAGUCGGCUACAACAGUCCAGAUGAGAUGCCUCCCUCCCUGCUGUGCCAGCUGGCGAGGAGACUGCUCCCUCUUCAAGACUGGUCCUGUGCCUUGGAUUACGCGUGUGUGUGGCAGAGGGCUCCUUAGGGAUGGGGUCGCCUCUCACUUCUCUCUGUGCUCCCAGGAGUGCUCCGCCCAGGGCCCGGGACAGCGUCUGGUGGGAUGAGGUGCUCGGCCAUGGCUUAUUAAAGUUGGGCACUCACUGCC
Molecule: long non-coding RNA, 527 nt
Organism: Ictidomys tridecemlineatus (thirteen-lined ground squirrel)
Lineage: Eukaryota; Metazoa; Chordata; Mammalia; Rodentia; Sciuridae
Source: RefSeq, a predicted model, not a curated record